This 1065-nucleotide ribosomal RNA is filed under the name Staphylococcus aureus M90383. RNAcentral describes it as "bacterial SSU rRNA". It matches the Rfam family "Bacterial small subunit ribosomal RNA", at positions 8 to 1052 of the family's 1533-position model. Lineage: Bacteria; Bacillati; Bacillota; Bacilli; Caryophanales; Staphylococcaceae. The record is from RNAcentral.
AGAGUUUGAUCCUGGCUCAGGAUGAACGCUGGCGGCGUGCCUAAUACAUGCAAGUCGAGCGAACGGACGAGAAGCUUGCUUCUCUGAUGUUAGCGGCGGACGGGUGAGUAACACGUGGAUAACCUACCUAUAAGACUGGGAUAACUUCGGGAAACCGGAGCUAAUACCGGAUAAUAUUUUGAACCGCAUGGUUCAAAAGUGAAAGACGGUCUUGCUGUCACUUAUAGAUGGAUCCGCGCUGCAUUAGCUAGUUGGUAAGGUAACGGCUUACCAAGGCAACGAUGCAUAGCCGACCUGAGAGGGUGAUCGGCCACACUGGAACUGAGACACGGUCCAGACUCCUACGGGAGGCAGCAGUAGGGAAUCUUCCGCAAUGGGCGAAAGCCUGACGGAGCAACGCCGCGUGAGUGAUGAAGGUCUUCGGAUCGUAAAACUCUGUUAUUAGGGAAGAACAUAUGUGUAAGUAACUGUGCACAUCUUGACGGUACCUAAUCAGAAAGCCACGGCUAACUACGUGCCAGCAGCCGCGGUAAUACGUAGGUGGCAAGCGUUAUCCGGAAUUAUUGGGCGUAAAGCGCGCGUAGGCGGUUUUUUAAGUCUGAUGUGAAAGCCCACGGCUCAACCGUGGAGGGUCAUUGGAAACUGGAAAACUUGAGUGCAGAAGAGGAAAGUGGAAUUCCAUGUGUAGCGGUGAAAUGCGCAGAGAUAUGGAGGAACACCAGUGGCGAAGGCGACUUUCUGGUCUGUAACUGACGCUGAUGUGCGAAAGCGUGGGGAUCAAACAGGAUUAGAUACCCUGGUAGUCCACGCCGUAAACGAUGAGUGCUAAGUGUUAGGGGGUUUCCGCCCCUUAGUGCUGCAGCUAACGCAUUAAGCACUCCGCCUGGGGAGUACGACCGCAAGGUUGAAACUCAAAGGAAUUGACGGGGACCCGCACAAGCGGUGGAGCAUGUGGUUUAAUUCGAAGCAACGCGAAGAACCUUACCAAAUCUUGACAUCCUUUGACAACUCUAGAGAUAGAGCUUUCCCCUUCGGGGGACAAAGUGACAGGUGGUGCAUGGUUGU